This 1241-nucleotide long non-coding RNA is filed under the name Equus caballus (horse). RNAcentral's name for it is "lncRNA (ENSECAG00000048412.1)". The record is from RNAcentral. Lineage: Eukaryota; Metazoa; Chordata; Mammalia; Perissodactyla; Equidae.
AUUUCAAAAAAGUGUUAAGGUCAUAAUACAAAACACCAGAAAUAUUCAUAUAGGGCUGUGUAUUUUGUAACAAACUUUAAUGAGAAACUUCUCAUUAGGCUCAGAUGGUAGGGGAAAUGGAAAAUACUUCAAGUGUUCUAUAUUGUGCUUGCAUGCAUUCUGGGGAAAACCAUCGCGCCUUGCGGAGGUAAUGGGCAAUGAAUUGGGUGCUGGUUGAUGCCACCAGCAAGACUUUGAAGCCUGUUCUCUCAGACUAAGCAAGGCUAAGAGCAGGAAAAAAAAGAAGGACUGGCAAGAGAAAAGAUCAUCUCUAUUUCCAACUUAGGAGUUGCAUUUGAUUCUCAUAGUGGUACCAGCAGACUGCCUGACUUCUAAUCUGAUAAAAAUCAUUGCUGUUUCCUGGGAUCCAGAUCUUGCUGAAAAUCAGCCACCUGACCUUUCCUGGUACGCUCUGACAUCAGAGUAGCCUGUAUAUUCAUGGGCUCCUUGAAAGUGCAGACAGUAACAAAGAUGCUCAACCCUCGUGGCUAAGCAGUGGGUCACAUGCAGUGCGGUCCGUCCCGUGCGGUGAAUCCAGACUGAUGGACACACUCGUUUCCACGCUUUGUGUAUCAGCUGACUCCUCGUUGCUGGACAGAGAGCCAGUAAGCACAGCCACGGUGGGAGAAGGUGAUUUACCAGCCACUCAGGGUUCAAAUGUUUCACUGGACCAAACUCCAUGCCCUACAAGCUUAUUUAGGCCAAUAGCAUGAUGCAGCAGAAAAAGCGUGAGCUUCGAUGCCAAAGAGAAGAGGAACAGAAUCUCGGAUCUGCCCACUUUGUGUCCUGGAGCACAGAUAGACUACAAACUUCAUCAAGGCGGUUGUACCCAUUUUGGAGUGCAUUCAGCUACAAGUAACAGAAACUUGACAGUGGCUUCAACAAAUAAGGAUUCACUUUUGUCAUCUAAAAAAGAAGUACAGAGGUAGUGGCUGCUGGUAAUGUUUCAGAACCUCAACAAUGUCACAAUGUCUCUUUGACUCUUUUGGUCUUUACUUCAUGGGUUCAAGAUAGCUGUUGCAGCUCUAGCCAUCAUAUCCAAAUUAAAGCAAGAAGAAAGGAAAAGGGAUGAGGACAGCCAUAUCUGUCUCAUUUUAGUGGGAAAGCAAGCUUUCCAUUCUUGAGCUUGGCCGUAACUGGGUUGCUUACAACUCCAAGCGGCAAGGGAGGCUGGGAGAUGAGAUUCUGCAGGCUAAAUUGGG